UCCUAUGGCCAUGUCACCCUGAACAAGCCUGAUCUCAUCUUAUCUCAGAAGCUAAGCAGAGUCGGGCCUGGUUAGUACUUGGAUGGGAGACCACCUAGGAAGACCAGGUGCUGUAGGUG
This 119-nucleotide ribosomal RNA is filed under the name Pteropus alecto (black flying fox). The record is from RNAcentral. Lineage: Eukaryota; Metazoa; Chordata; Mammalia; Chiroptera; Pteropodidae.